AGCUCGUACUCCCCGAAAUGCAUUUAGGUGCAGCGUCGUGGUUAUUGUUAUAGAGGUAGAGCUACUGAUAGGGCUAGGGGGCUUCACCGCCUACCAACCCCUGACAAACUCCGAAUGCUAUCAAAUAUACACGGCAGUGAGGGCGUGGGUGCUAAGGUCCACGUCCGAGAGGGAAAGAACCCAGACCAUCAGCUAAGGUCCCAAAAUGUAUACUAAGUUGAAUGAACGAGGUCAAGCUGCUUUGACAGCUAGGAUGUUGGCUUGGAAGCAGCCAUUCAUUUAAAGAGUGCGUAACAGCUCACUAGUCGAGCGGCAUGGCAUGGAUAAUAAUCGGGCAUAAGUAUACCACCGAAGCUAUGACUUUGUCUUAUGACAAGGGGUAGGGGAGCAUUCUAUGGGCAUUGAAGGUGCUGGCGUGAGCCGUGCUGGAGCGCAUAGAAACGAAAAUGUAGGCAUAAGUAACGAUAAUGCGGGCGAGAAACCCGCACGCCGAAAGACCAAGGUUUCCCCAGCUAUGCUAAUCAGCUGGGGGUCAGUCGGGACCUAACGCGAACCCGAACGGGGUAGUGGAUGGACAAUCAGUUAAUAUUCUGAUACCUGCUCACAUUAAAAGUGACGGGGAUGAGGCGUUGGUGCGAAGAGACGGAAUUCUUCGUUGAAGGUAGUGGAAGCUACUGAUAGUACACUGAGGCUUCGGCCAAGGUGAUAAUCCAGCUUAUCAUCCUCCAAGAAAAACAAGUGAAGCAGCCCGUACCGUAAACCGACACAGGUGGUUGGGAUGAGUAUUCUAAGGCGCUCGAGAGAUUCAUGGCUAAGGAACUAGGCAAAAUAGACCCGUAACUUCGGGAGAAGGGUCGCCCCCUGUAUGGGGGGCCGCAGUGAAGAGGUCCAGGCGACUGUUUAUCAAAAACACAGGGCUCUGCAAAAUCGAAAGAUGACGUAUAGGGCCUGACACCUGCCCGGUGCUGGAAGGUUAAGUGGAGAUGUUAGCUUCGGCGAAGCAUUUAAAUGAAGCCCCAGUAAACGGCGGCCGUAACAAUAACGGUCCUAAGGUAG
Molecule: ribosomal RNA, 1056 nt
Filed under: Pteridomonas danica
Lineage: Eukaryota; Dictyochophyceae; Pedinellales
Description: partial Bacterial large subunit ribosomal RNA
Rfam family: Bacterial large subunit ribosomal RNA
Source: RNAcentral